Molecule: ribosomal RNA, 461 nt
Filed under: uncultured soil bacterium
Lineage: Bacteria
Description: bacterial SSU rRNA
Rfam family: Bacterial small subunit ribosomal RNA
Source: RNAcentral
AGCCUGAACGCUGGCGGCGUGGCUAAGACAUGCAAGUCGCACGGGACCCGCAAGGGUUCAGUGGCGCACGGGUGAGUAAUGUAUCGCUAAUGUACCCCGGAGACAGGGAUAGCCAUCCGAAAGGGUGGGUAAUACCUGAUGAUAUAAUCCCGACGCAUGUCGGGAUUCUCAAUCACAGCAAUGUGCUCUGGGAGCAGGCGAUAUCGUAUCAGCUAGUUGGUGAGGUAACGGCUCACCAAGGCGACGACGCGUAGCUGGUCUGAGAGGACGACCAGCCACAUCGGGACUGAGACACUGCCCGGACUCCUACGGGGGGCUGCAGUACGAAUCUUCCGCAAUGCACGAAAGUGUGAGGAGCGACGCCGCGUGUAGGACGAAGUCCUUCGGGAUGUAAACUACGUGUCGAAGGGAAAGAAAGUUCUAGAUACCUAACCCGAAAGGAAGAGGACGGCUAACUCUGU